This 253-nucleotide ribosomal RNA is filed under the name uncultured bacterium. RNAcentral's name for it is "partial 16S ribosomal RNA". It matches the Rfam family "Bacterial small subunit ribosomal RNA", at positions 524 to 776 of the family's 1533-position model. The record is from RNAcentral.
UACGUAGGCAGCAAGCGUUGUUCGGAGUUACUGGGCGUAAAGGGCGUGUAGGCGGUCUUCUAAGUUUGGUGUGAAAUCUCCCGGCUCAACUGGGGAGGGUCGUGCGAUACGGUCGGACUCGAGGCCAGUAGGGGGACGCGGAAUUCCGGGUGUAGUGGUGGAAUGCGUAGAGAUCCGGAGGAACACCAGCGGCGAAGGCGGCGUCCUGGACUGGUACUGACGCUCAGGAGCGAAAGCGUGGGGAGCGAUCCGG